CUUUUUCUUCAGGACCUCUAAUGCGGCUCUUUGGAACUGAAGGGAACUGCAGGAUCUAUCUCUCCCUUCAGGGCCUCCUCUUGGCUGUCCUAUGGCCUUGAUGCCACCGCUGCUCUUCCAAUAAGGCUCCCCUUAAAAGUCCAUGAUGGCCAGAGAUGGCCUCAGAGGCUGAGGGGGCUGGGGAGGUUGGAUCCACUGCACAUCAAACACUUCCAGAAAUCUCAUCACUAGAUUGGUUUGCCUGGCUGUUUUCUGCCUUUGAGGUCAUGUUGGAUUUCUCCCAGGAGCUUGGGAGUCCACUUGUCCUUUAGGAAGGCAGCCCUGGGCUACAUUCCUAUUGUGAACAGAGCAUGGAUACUUGUCUUAGGCGAUGUCUUAACUGUGGCUCAGUCACUGAGCAGAGGCCCAGCUGUUGAACCUUACAGUAGAAAAAUCUACCUUCGUUGCUAUUGUUUGAAGAAAGAUUCCUACUAUGCAUCCCAGAGCAUGCCCACCUUACACUUUUCCCCUGUGUGAGCUGAGUUAGAGCUGUGGUGGUCUGGGAAGGGAGAGUGUCUUCACGUUAACUGUCUCAGGUGGCUGAGGUGACCGCCACGCACUCGGUCUCUUUACACGGCUUAUAAGUCCGAGUAUAUGGGUGUGAGUCAACGGAAAGAUAACUUGUCAGCUUCUGUUCAGUGCCAACAUUAGCAAUAGACAGUUAGAGUCACAUGGUCUGCCUAAGGAAAGGGGUGGAUGGGAAAUGGAGAGAAGGGAGAGCCAUGUGACUGGAGACAGCGACACAUGCCUGAGAGGUGGAGGCAGGAGGAUUACAAGUCCAGAGCUAGCCUCAACUACAUAGAAAGAUGGUUUCUAAAAAAAAAAAAAAUGAGUAAAUAAUUAGCACAAUUUC
Mastomys coucha (southern multimammate mouse) is the source of this 892-nucleotide long non-coding RNA. RefSeq lists it as uncharacterized. Lineage: Eukaryota; Metazoa; Chordata; Mammalia; Rodentia; Muridae. The transcript has 3 exons. The record is from RefSeq and is a predicted model, not a curated record.